Molecule: RNA transcript, 2400 nt
Organism: Phalaenopsis equestris
Lineage: Eukaryota; Viridiplantae; Streptophyta; Magnoliopsida; Asparagales; Orchidaceae
Gene name: protein sym-1
Exons: 8
Source: RefSeq, a predicted model, not a curated record
UCCGAACCGAACCGGGAUCGGGUGAGAAUUUAAUUGCGUCCCCGCCCGACCCGAUCGGAACCCUCGGCCAUAAGGAGUGACAAGGGGCAGUUCGAUAAAUCUCGACAAAACCCACGAUGAUGCUGUGGCGCGGAUCGAAAAUAGCGGCAAUGCUUCUCAGAAGCCCCAUUGCCUUCGAAUCCUUACAACCCCUAUCGGCUAUCUCAUCCAAUUUUCACAAUAUCUGUCGAAUCACUUCCAUUCCGGUCCCGCAAACUCUACCCAGAUUCAGGAUUCCAAUUGGUUGCUUCCAAUCUCCGACCGUAGGAGCUUGUUCUAGGGUUUGGGGAUCUGUUUAUUCCAGAUCGGAUCGGAAGGGAUUUGAUUUCUUCAUGCUUCAAGCGGUUUUAGAUAGAGGUUCUGGAGGCGGCGACGGGUUUAAGGGUUCGGGAGGUGGUGGAAGUGGCGGCGGAGGCGGGGAGGAAGCCGGUGGUAAUGGUUGGUCCUUUUUAUCAUGGUAUCUGGCAGCUCUUGAUAAGCACCCAGUGAUAACAAAGGCUUUGACAUCUGCAUUUCUUACUCUUAUUGGGGAUUUGGUAUGCCAGAUUAUGAUAGAUCAUGUCCCAAAACUGGAUGAAAGGCGGACAUUUGUGUUCACUUUCUUGGGGCUUGUGUUGGUGGGUCCUACACUGCAUUUUUGGUAUCUCUCUCUUAGUAAGCUGAUCAGCUUGCCUGGAGCGUCGGGCGCUUCCUUGCGCCUUUUCCUUGAUCAGUUUUUCUUCUCUCCCAUCUUUAUCGGGGUUUUCUUAUGUGCGCUUGUUACAUUAGAAGGAAGGCCUUCUCAAGUGAUACCGAAGCUCCAGCAGGAGUGGUUUUCAUCUGUGCUAGCAAAUUGGCAGCUGUGGAUACCCUUUCAGUUCCUUAAUUUCCGGUUUGUUCCACAAAAAUUUCAGGUUCUUGCUGCAAACGUUGUGGCUCUUGUAUGGAAUGUGAUUCUAUCAUUUAAAGCGCACAAAGAAAUUGUUGUCAAAUAGGCAUGCUUUGUUCUGAUGGAGAUUGCAGAAGUCAACAUUUUCGUGAUUUUAUUGGUGCUGAGAUGCAAUUGUUGCAUAUGAUCUUAUGACAAAGAAUUAUUGGUAAAGGGUGAUAAUCGCGCGUGGGGCGAUGGGGCGGAGCUAUACAUUUUGGUUAAUGAGAUACAUCGGUGCGCAGCUUGUUCCAACACUUUAUCUCCUUUUGGGAUUCAUUGAUAAUAACUUUCUCAUGGGUUACAAAUGAGACUGGUGCGGUAGUCCCACCCGCAAUGUGGGAUGACACGGAAGUCGUGUCCCGCGAUUUUGAAUGGCAGGACGAUGUCGAAGUCAUGUUUUGUGACUUGGAUGACAUGGGAUUUCAACCGUAGUGGCUUGGACCGAAGGGCUGAUCAACUCUUUACAUGUAUUUUCCUCUUAUUGGGAGUGGGGUCCACUCCUAUUUACCCUAGGUAUAUAAGUAUGUUGUUUUUGUGUUUUAGGUCAUUUUCUUCGUGUGUUUUGUUAGCACGGCCGUUAGUGUCCGUUUUCUCUUUUCAAUGGUUGUAUCUGAGGGAUUGGGUUGUGCGUCGACUCUCUCUCUCCCAAAGUGAUGAUUAUCUUCUCCUAUCCUCUUCCGCAUCCUCACACAUUGCUUCCGGCUGCUCCUCCUUUAUUGCAGCCGCCCAAAAUAGCCUCUUUUGGCUGUUUUGUGCGGUUCCUGCUUUCCAACUGCCUUCCCCACCCCUUGACUGAUGUUCCAGCCGCCCAUAUCUAGUUUCCUUGGAGCUUCACUGCUGUUUCAGCCACGAGAAACGUUCCGUUGUAGCCUUGGCUGGUCUUCCAGCCAUUCCAAACCAUUUCACAGCCACCUAGCCAUCGUCCCAACCCCUCCAAUGUGCUACCAUCACUGUUCCAGUUCAACAUACCCACAGCCUUUGCUGUUCCAGUCUUCCAUCUUGCUAUCGUUGAUGUUCCAAUGCUCCCCCUUUUCCUGCCAUCAUCUCGGAUAGUCAUGCGACAUCGAUAUCUUCUGCGUACUUGCUGUCCGGAACCCAGAAAAUUGUUGACUUGCUAUAUUCUGCUUGUCAACAACCUCGUCCGCCAUCCCUUCACCUUCUAGACCUGCGCCGAUCACCACCGCCACCUGAGAUUCAUCAUAGCCCUAUGUUGCUAGUCGUGUAGUUAUUUUCUAUUUCAGCCUGUUGUGUGUCGUGUUUGUUUUUGUUUUUCCCUUUAAGUGUGUUAGUUGUAACCGUCUAUUUGCUUUCAAUAAUAUUAUGUGCUUUUUUCUUUUGAGGUUUCGGUUCUCUGGUACCAGAGAUGGAAUCUCCGAUAGGCCUAAAUAUCGAGCCUUCUUUCAUGGUUAUUUUAUUUGUUGACUUAUUGACUGAUUUGUCUCGCCAAAUCU